This 479-nucleotide ribosomal RNA is filed under the name uncultured bacterium. RNAcentral describes it as "bacterial SSU rRNA". It matches the Rfam family "Bacterial small subunit ribosomal RNA", at positions 28 to 507 of the family's 1533-position model. The record is from RNAcentral.
GAUGAACGCUGGCGGCGUGCUUAACACAUGCAAGUCGAACGAAGCAUUUUACGGAACAUUUUCGGAUGGGAAGGAAAAUGACUGAGUGGCGGACGGGUGAGUAACGCGUGGAUAACCUACCAUAUACAGGGGGACAACAGUUGGAAACGACUGCUAAUACCGCAUAAGCGCACAGUGCCGCAUGGCACAGUGUGAAAAACUCCGGUGGUAUAUGAUGGAUCCGCGUCUGAUUAGCUAGUUGGUGAGGUAAUGGCCCACCAAGGCAACGAUCAGUAGCCGACCUGAGAGGGUGACCGGCCACAUUGGGACUGAGACACGGCCCAAACUCCUACGGGAGGCAGCAGUGGGGAAUAUUGCACAAUGGGCGAAAGCCUGAUGCAGCGACGCCGCGUGAGCGAAGAAGUAUUUCGGUAUGUAAAGCUCUAUCAGCAGGGAAGAAAAUGACGGUACCUGACUAAGAAGCCCCGGCUAACUACGUG